RNAcentral lists this non-coding RNA (27 nucleotides) under Cricetulus griseus (Chinese hamster). Lineage: Eukaryota; Metazoa; Chordata; Mammalia; Rodentia; Cricetidae. The record is from RNAcentral.
AUGGUACUGUGGAGCCAGAGAGCAGAG